AGUGAACGCUGGCGGUAGGCCUAACACAUGCAAGUCGAACGGCAGCACAGUAAGAGCUUGCUCUUACGGGUGGCGAGUGGCGGACGGGUGAGGAAUACAUCGGAAUCUACUUUUUCGUGGGGGAUAACGUAGGGAAACUUACGCUAAUACCGCAUACGACCUACGGUUGAAAGCAGGGGAUCUUCGCACCUUGCGCGAUUGAAUGAGCCGAUGUCGGAUUAGCUAGUUGGCGGGGUAAAGGCCCACCAAGUCGACGAUCCGUAGCUGGUCUGAGAGGAUGAUCAGCCACACUGGAACGGAGACACGGUCCAGACUCCUACGGGAGGCAGCAGUGGGGAAUAUUGGACAAUGGGCGCAAGCCUGAUCCAGCCAUACCGCGUGGGUGAAGAAGGCCUUCGGGUUGUAAAGCCCUUUUGUUGGGAAAGAAAAGCAGCAGGUUAAUACCCCGCUGUUCUGACGGUACCCAAAGAAUAAGCACCGGCUAACUUCGUG
Molecule: ribosomal RNA, 492 nt
Filed under: uncultured bacterium
Lineage: Bacteria
Description: partial 16S ribosomal RNA
Rfam family: Bacterial small subunit ribosomal RNA
Source: RNAcentral